AACGAACGCUGGCGGCAUGCCUAAUACAUGCAAGUCGAACGAGAUCUUCGGAUCUAGUGGCGCACGGGUGCGUAACGCGUGGGAAUCUGCCCUUGGGUUCGGAAUAACGUCGGGAAACUGACGCUAAUACCGGAUGAUGACGUAAGUCCAAAGAUUUAUCGCCCAAGGAUGAGCCCGCGUAGGAUUAGCUAGUUGGUGAGGUAAAGGCUCACCAAGGCGACGAUCCUUAGCUGGUCUGGGAGGAUGAUCAGCCACACUGGGACUGGGACACGGCCCAGACUCCUACGGGAGGCAGCAGUAGGGAAUAUUGGACAAUGGGGGCAACCCUGGUCCAGCAAUGCCGCGUGAGUGAUGAAGGCCUUAGGGUUGUAAAGCUCUUUUACCCGGGAUGAUAAUGACAGUACCGGGAGAAUAAGCCCCGGCUAACUCCGUGCCAGCCGCCGCGGUAA
Molecule: ribosomal RNA, 449 nt
Filed under: uncultured bacterium
Lineage: Bacteria
Description: partial 16S ribosomal RNA
Rfam family: Bacterial small subunit ribosomal RNA
Source: RNAcentral